UACGAAGGGGGCUAGCGUUGCUCGGAAUCACUGGGCGUAAAGCGCGCGUAGGCGGAUUGCUAAGUCAGGGGUGAAAUCCUGGAGCUCAACUCCAGAACUGCCUUUGAUACUGGCGACCUUGAGUCCGGGAGAGGUGAGUGGAACUGCGAGUGUAGAGGUGAAAUUCGUAGAUAUUCGCAAGAACACCAGUGGCGAAGGCGGCUCACUAGCCCGGUACUGACGCUGAGGUGCGAAAGCGUGGGGAGCAAACAGG
This 253-nucleotide ribosomal RNA is filed under the name uncultured bacterium. Its description in RNAcentral is "partial 16S ribosomal RNA". It matches the Rfam family "Bacterial small subunit ribosomal RNA", at positions 524 to 776 of the family's 1533-position model. The record is from RNAcentral.